Molecule: non-coding RNA, 1439 nt
Organism: Zonotrichia albicollis (white-throated sparrow)
Lineage: Eukaryota; Metazoa; Chordata; Aves; Passeriformes; Passerellidae
Source: RefSeq, a predicted model, not a curated record
AUCAUCGAUGACCUGACAAGCCUGGUGGAGAGCACAGACGGGCGGCUGCGCAGCCAGACACGGCACGUGCAGGCAGUGGAGAGGAAAUCCACGUCAUGUGGGAUGCUGGUGGUGAUCGUGCUGCUGCUCAUCGCCAUCGCCGUGGUCGCGCUCUGGCCCACGGGGUAACCCCGACCCUGCUGGGGCAGCUGCUCCAGGGGAGCCCCAGGGCUCGGGCAGGGACCUGCUGAGGGCAGGGAUGAGCUCCAUCCAUCGCUGGGAACAAACUCCACAGCUGGGAAUGACCCCACUGAGCAAACUGAACCAUCUCCACAGCUGGGACUGACCCCACUGCAGGAGCCUGGACAAACCCACAGCUGGGAAUGACCCCACUACAGCAGCCUGGACAAACCCACAGCUGGGAAUGACCCCACUGCAGCAGCCUGAGGCAGCCCCGCUCUCCUUGGCCAAGGAGCUCAGUGAGAUCUGCAAGAUUUCAGUGGGAAAGGAUUUCAUCCCAUCAGGAUUUCAAUCCAACAGGAUUUCAUCGCACUAACAGGAUUUCAUCCCACUCUUCCCACCUUCCCCUGGCUCUCAGGCAGCUGCAGCUGUGGGAUGGACCCACCUCUCCUGCACCUGGGCCCAGCUGGUGCUGCUGCCCUGCCCAUCUCCUGAGCUCAGACAUGCCAGAGGCUCCAAACACUGAAAUGCAGGAGUGCUGUGGAGAACAGCCACAUUCCCUGCUCUGGGAUCCCUCCUGCAGAGGGAAAUGCUCCAUUCAGGGAAUGUCCUGGGGAGUGGCUGCCUCUGGAUUCCCCCAGGAUGGGAAGGGACAGCCCUGCAGGAGCCCCUGGGCUGCACAGAACCAUGGGGACUGGGUCAGUGCUCAGCCUGGGGGAGGCUUGCUGGGGUAUUGAUCCCCAGGGAUGGUCAUUGGUGGGGUAUUGAUCCCCAGGGAUGGUCAUUGGUGGGUUAUUGAUCCCCAGGGAUGGUCAUUGGUGGGUUAUUGGUCUCCAGGGAUGGUUACUGGUGGGUUAUUGAUCCCCAGGGACGGUCAUUGGUGGGUUAUUGAUCUCCAGGGAUGGUUAUGGGUGCGUUAUUGAUCUCCAGGGAUGGAGUUACUGAUCUCAGAUGGGAACUGAACAGCAGCAGGACUCAGCCCAGCCUGUGAGAGUGAGAGCUCUGCCCGUGUGUGCUCCCCAGGGGCUCUGCCAGCCUGGCCCUGGGAGAUGCACCACAAUUAACGUCCUCACUGAGCUCUGGCUCUUCCUUUGACAGCUUCUCACACCCUUCUACAGCUGAGAGGAAGGAUUACCUGUUUCAAAACUAAUGAAAAAGAAGUAUUAAAUGUUUGCUUCUGGCCAAGAGAAUAAUUAUUUUGUUACAAAUGUCAGUUUGAUUUCAGGAUUAAUAGAGCAAGCAAUAAAUACUGAUUAAAGCUGAUCCAUUUCUAUACAGUU